UCGAGUUAGGGUCUUCUAGGCCCGACCUCCCAACCCUUUGUUUACUGAACCACUGUUGCUUCGGCGGGCCCGUCUCACGACCGCCGGAGGAGCGCUGAAAGGCGUGUCCUCUGGCCCGUGUCCGCCGAUGGCCAACCUCAAAAACUCUGUAUAAAUCGUGUCUUUAUGUCUAAGUCAAUGAUUGAAUUAAAAGCAA
This 196-nucleotide unclassified non-coding RNA is filed under the name soil metagenome. Its description in RNAcentral is "partial internal transcribed spacer 1". The record is from RNAcentral.